Halenospora varia is the source of this 147-nucleotide non-coding RNA. The record is from the annotation of a GenBank genome assembly. Lineage: Eukaryota; Fungi; Ascomycota; Leotiomycetes; Helotiales; Solenopeziaceae.
GGCUUCAUAGUUCAAUGGUAGAACGUCGAGAUCAAACGUGCUUAGCAUUUGGACGGCGUUGGCGUUGGGAGUCUUCUUUCGUUGCUGCAUUUCCAGGCGUUGGCGUUUGUUUACUUGGAGAUCAGGGUUCGAUUCCCUGUGAGGCCA